This 488-nucleotide ribosomal RNA is filed under the name uncultured bacterium. Its description in RNAcentral is "partial 16S ribosomal RNA". It matches the Rfam family "Bacterial small subunit ribosomal RNA", at positions 28 to 507 of the family's 1533-position model. The record is from RNAcentral.
GAUGAACGCUAGCGGCAGGCCUAAUACAUGCAAGUCGGACGGGAUCCAUUGAUAGCUUGCUAUCAAUGGUGAGAGUGGCGCACGGGUGCGUAACGCGUGAGCAACCUGCCUCCAUCAGGGGGAUAGCCUCUCGAAAGAGAGAUUAACACCGCAUAAUAUCAACAGUUCGCAUGUUCAGUUGAUUAAAUAUUUAUAGGAUGGAGAUGGGCUCGCGUGACAUUAGCUAGUUGGUAGGGUAACGGCUUACCAAGGCGACGAUGUCUAGGGGCUCUGAGAGGAGAAUCCCCCACACUGGUACUGAGACACGGACCAGACUCCUACGGGAGGAAGCAGUAAGGAAUAUUGGUCAAUGGGCGGAAGCCUGAACCAGCCAUGCCGCGUGCAGGAUGACUGCCCUAUGGGUUGUAAACUGCUUUUGUCCAGGAAUAAACCUAAAUACGAGUAUUUAGCUGAAUGUACUGGAAGAAUAAGGAUCGGCUAACUCCGUG